This 908-nucleotide ribosomal RNA is filed under the name uncultured bacterium. RNAcentral describes it as "bacterial SSU rRNA". It matches the Rfam family "Bacterial small subunit ribosomal RNA", at positions 8 to 916 of the family's 1533-position model. The record is from RNAcentral.
AGGGUUUGAUUAUGGCUCAGGAUGAACGCUAGCGGCAGGCUUAACACAUGCAAGUCGAGGGGUAACAUUGUAGCUUGCUACAGAUGACGACCGGCGCACGGGUGCGUAACGCGUAUAGAACCUACCUUUUACAGAGGGAUAGCCUUUAGAAAUGAAGAUUAAUACCUUAUAGUAUUGAGACUUGGCAUCGAGUUUUAAUUAAAGAUUUAUCGGUAAAAGAUGGCUAUGCGUCCUAUUAGUUAGUUGGUAAGGUAACGGCUUACCAAGACUUCGAUAGGUAGGGGCCCUGAGAGGGGGAUCCCCCACACUGGUACUGAGACACGGACCAGACUCCUACGGGAGGCAGCAGUGAGGAAUAUUGGGCAAUGGAGGCAACUCUGACCCAGCCAUGCCGCGUGCAGGAAGACUGCCCUAUGGGUUGUAAACUGCUUUUAUACAGGAAGAAACACUGCUACGUGUAGCAGCUUGACGGUACUGUAAGAAUAAGGACCGGCUAACUCCGUGCCAGCAGCCGCGGUAAUACGGAGGGUCCGAGCGUUAUCCGGAAUCAUUGGGUUUAAAGGGUCCGCAGGCGGUCAAUUAAGUCAGAGGUGAAAUACCAUAGCUCAACUAUGGAACUGCCUUUGAUACUGGUUGACUUGAGUCAUAUGGAAGUAGAUAGAAUGUGUAGUGUAGCGGUGAAAUGCAUAGAUAUUACACAGAAUACCGAUUGCGAAGGCAGUCUACUACGUAUGUACUGACGCUGAGGGACGAAAGCGUGGGGAGCGAACAGGAUUAGAUACCCUGGUAGUCCACGCCGUAAACGAUGGAUACUAGUUGUUGGGCAUUAGCUCAGUGACUAAGCGAAAGUGAUAAGUAUCCCACCUGGGGAGUACGGUCGCAAGACUGAAACUCAAAUGAAUUGACGG